AGAGUUUGAUCCUGGCUCAGAUUGAACGCUGGCGGCAGGCCUAACACAUGCAAGUCGAGCGGAUGAAGGGAGCUUGCUCCUGGAUUCAGCGGCGGACGGGUGAGUAAUGCCUAGGAAUCUGCCUGGUAGUGGGGGAUAACGUCCGGAAACGGGCGCUAAUACCGCAUACGUCCUGAGGGAGAAAGUGGGGGAUCUUCGGACCUCACGCUAUCAGAUGAGCCUAGGUCGGAUUAGCUAGUUGGUGGGGUAAAGGCCUACCAAGGCGACGAUCCGUAACUGGUCUGAGAGGAUGAUCAGUCACACUGGAACUGAGACACGGUCCAGACUCCUACGGGAGGCAGCAGUGGGGAAUAUUGGACAAUGGGCGAAAGCCUGAUCCAGCCAUGCCGCGUGUGUGAAGAAGGUCUUCGGAUUGUAAAGCACUUUAAGUUGGGAGGAAGGGCAGUAAGUUAAUACCUUGCUGUUUGACGUACCAACAG
This 479-nucleotide ribosomal RNA is filed under the name uncultured bacterium. Its description in RNAcentral is "bacterial SSU rRNA". It matches the Rfam family "Bacterial small subunit ribosomal RNA", at positions 8 to 484 of the family's 1533-position model. The record is from RNAcentral.